Long non-coding RNA from Helianthus annuus (common sunflower), 740 nucleotides. RefSeq lists it as uncharacterized. The record is from RefSeq and is a predicted model, not a curated record. The transcript is spliced from 3 exons. NCBI's taxonomy places the organism in Eukaryota, Viridiplantae, Streptophyta, Magnoliopsida, Asterales, Asteraceae.
CGCUUGCCCCUGUUCCUAACUGCAUCGCCAAUUAGUUGUAAAAUUGAAUGUUGAAACGAUUAAUUGGAAAUUAAAUGUCAUUGAAUUACAUCAUUUCAAUUAUAGUUAGCGUUAAUAAGUUGUUGCAUUCAGGCGUUGAAAUUUAGUCCGACGGAAGACUAGAAACCAGUACCCGACUCAUGUACUAGUGAUCUCGAGAUUUUCAAUGGCCUAUCAAACUCUUCUUGUUGUAGACGGAAACAACUAGAAGUUAAUCAAUCAAUAUCAGGAGAGGAUGAAGAUGUUACUCCAACCUAUGAAGAGCCUCCUACUCAGCAACGGACUCGCAACCGGCCCAAACAUGAAGCUGAGAUUACAGGAAGAUUUCCCAACACUACUUCAUUGUGUGUCCAGUAUAUACACAUCUGGCAAGAACGAUAGUAUUAUGACUGAACGUGACACUAAUGAAAGGUGAGUGCUUUGUGUCAGUUCGCUAAGUUUGAUUUCACAAUAUAUACAAGCAAACAUAUGAAAAAACUUGUAACUGGGAAUUCGAGCAACAUACAAUAUGACUUGUAAGAAAUAUGAAGAUAGUUAUAGCAUCCAAAGUGUAGUGAAUAUGGGUCAUAGGUGCCCACAAAUGAAGGUGAAAACAUCUUGAGGUCAGUAAGAAGAAAGAAAAGAGUUGUAGUGGUCACAAACAAGCCACAAAAAAGCAUUGGGGUGGCCUCUUUAUAUCAAGACAGAUAUUUUCCUGGUUU